CCUACGGGGGGCAGCAGUGAGGAAUAUUGGUCAAUGGACGAGAGUCUGAACCAGCCAAGUAGCGUGAAGGAUGACUGCCCUAUGGGUUGUAAACUUCUUUUAUAAAGGAAUAAAACGAGGCACGUGUGCCUUUUUGCAUGUACUUUAUGAAUAAGGAUCGGCUAACUCCGUGCCAGCAGCCGCGGUAAUACGGAGGAUCCGAGCGUUAUCCGGUUUUGUUGGGUUUAAAGGGAGCGUAGAUGGGUUGUUAAGUCAGUUGUGAAAGUUUGCGGCUCAACCGUAAAAUUGCAAUUGAUACUGGCAGUCUUGAGUACAGUUGAGGUAGGCGGAAUUCGUGGUGUAGCGGUGAAAUGCUUAGAUAUCACGAAGAACCCCGAUUGCGAAGGCAGCUUACUAAACUGUGACUGACAUUGAUGCUCGAAAGUGUGGGUAUCAAACAGGAUUAGAUACCCCAGUAGUC
RNAcentral lists this ribosomal RNA (460 nucleotides) under uncultured bacterium. RNAcentral's name for it is "partial 16S ribosomal RNA". It matches the Rfam family "Bacterial small subunit ribosomal RNA", at positions 338 to 795 of the family's 1533-position model. The record is from RNAcentral.